Ostrinia nubilalis (European corn borer) is the source of this 561-nucleotide long non-coding RNA. RefSeq lists it as uncharacterized. Lineage: Eukaryota; Metazoa; Arthropoda; Insecta; Lepidoptera; Crambidae. The transcript has 2 exons. The record is from RefSeq and is a predicted model, not a curated record.
CAAUUAAAUCAGAAAAAUACUAACAUUUAAUAAAUUAUAAUAUUUAUAGAAAGAACUGUUUUUGUAAGCAAACUGCGCGAUACCAUUGUUAUUAUAUCUUUGGAGCGAACGAACGAACGCCGAAUGAUUCAAGGCGCGGCGAAUGCUCGCAGCGAUCGCGAAUCCAUCACUGUGUCUCGCGAAACAUCCGUACGCAGACACGUACCACUUUAACUGCAGAUUUUUUAAAUAUAAGGUUUACGAACUCGUGAAGUUUUUACACCUCAGAAUCUAAUUAAGUCUGUGUACGUCACCCCGAUAACGGGGAUCCAGUACCGGAUUUCGAUUGCUGCUCCCGGCUCACUCUCCAUAAUCAGGCUUACGGCGGAGGUGAUUGCUGCAUUUUUGUCAUCGGACUACCCUACGAUAUCACAACUUCGUGACCCCAACUUCGUGUCAACGCUUCUCCACGGAUAAAAGGGCAGUGGUUUUGAUUGAGCUUAAGACUGGUGAUUCUUCGCGUUGCAAUUGUUUAUCCACUCCCUGAAGAGUCGUAAUUAAACCUUUUUGUUAAAUUUAAAA